RNAcentral lists this long non-coding RNA (1035 nucleotides) under Mastacembelus armatus (zig-zag eel). Its description in RNAcentral is "lncRNA (ENSMAMG00000025809.1)". The record is from RNAcentral. Lineage: Eukaryota; Metazoa; Chordata; Actinopteri; Synbranchiformes; Mastacembelidae.
AUGACAAGGGCAGCACUGACUAAACUUUUCAUCCUCGUGAUCCUCGCUUUUAUCAUCUGCCUCCCAGAAUUCUUCUCACUAUACAAAGUAUUAAAAGUUACCUUCCUCUGUGUGCCCUAUCGACCCUGUGAGCGAGGCAAUCAGGUGACAAAGGGGGAGCUUGGGAGGACUGAGGAUGCUGAAAUUAAGAGAAGGGACAUGUGUGACCCUUACCAGGCUCAAGAACGUGAACAGUGGGAGUUGGCCUGUACACACGAUAAUCGAAGCUACACAACAGAUCCUGUGUCAGACUCCAGGAGAGACGGUGAAGAAAACAGCUGGUUCAUAUGUCAAACAGACACGGGAGUGACAAAAUUACAUAGCAACAUCUCAUCUUCAGAUCCAAAUGUACAUGUGGAAGUGACUGUGGAGCUUCAACUUGGCAAUACAGAGACCCUGAAUCUCACCUUGUAUGACCACAGUAAGACCACCUCCUUACACUUUUACCCUCCUGAGGAGGAGGAGGAAGAGGAGCUGAAGAAGGGACAGGAUGAGGCAUUUUACUGCUGUUUGCCUAUCCUGACAGAAUCAGAGUCAGACAGUCAGAGCCGCUGUCUGCUUCGGUUUGCCAAUAUAACAGUUCUGACUGCAACAGUAAAAGAAAAGCUGCCAUGGAAACAGAAACAUAAAGAUGAGUGGUGGUGUAUAUUUAGGGUGAUGUGGUUGGCUCUCGUCUGUUUAGUGCUCCUGACAAUAGUUACAUCUGUAUUUGGACAAAUCUACCGGAGGAAAUGCUCAUACAAAAAGCCCACGGUGCAUCCUGUUGGUUACAUCUAUACUGUAGAUGGAGAGAAGAACACUGGAGUAACGCCUAAAGUCCUUCACACAUAUGGGCCCCGGACCUGGACAGGACUAUCCCCCAUUGAAGAAAGAGAUAUCCAAGAGGACAUAGAAACUCUGCUGCAUGGAAAUGUCGACAACUGCUAUAAUGCCAUCCAUCCAUCUUCCUCCUCACAGAGGAACAAGCCUGGUGACAGAGGAUGCAAAGACAGAUGA